GCCCUGGUGGUGGAAUUGGUAGACGCGCUAGCUUCAGGUGCUAGUGAUCGCAAGGUCGUGGAGGUUCGAGUCCUCUCCAGGGCACCA
Molecule: transfer RNA, 87 nt
Filed under: Micavibrio aeruginosavorus
Lineage: Bacteria; Pseudomonadati; Bdellovibrionota; Bdellovibrionia; Bdellovibrionales; Pseudobdellovibrionaceae
Description: tRNA-Leu
Rfam family: tRNA
About the family: Transfer RNA (tRNA) molecules are approximately 80 nucleotides in length.
Source: RNAcentral